RNAcentral lists this long non-coding RNA (347 nucleotides) under Vulpes vulpes (red fox). Its description in RNAcentral is "lncRNA (ENSVVUG00000022687.1)". The record is from RNAcentral. Lineage: Eukaryota; Metazoa; Chordata; Mammalia; Carnivora; Canidae.
UUAAAAAUCAAAAAUCACUUCAUGUUUCUAGCCCAGAUGGCCUGGGAGGGUAUAACUCCUGUGGAACAGCAAAGGAUCCCAGAGCAAGGCAGUUCAGCAGCAUGGUAUCCAUUUACUGAUUCAUUCAUCCUGCAACAAGCAUUAAACACCUUCUCUAUGCCAAUGACUAAGAACACAAUUGUAAUCAAGAUCCUAAGAAGUUUAUCAAAUGAAGGACAGUAAGAAACCUUUACACAUAAUUUUAGAGCUAUGGAAAAAUGUCAGCUUUGAAAGCCCACAAGGAGGAAUUCUCCUAAUUCUACUUUGGGGAUCAUAACUGGGUAAAAUAAACUCUUUCCAGGAAGACA